GGUUCUAUAGUGUAGCGGUUAUCACGUCUGCUUUGCACACAGAAGGUCCUGGGUUCAACCCCCAGUGGAACCA
This 73-nucleotide transfer RNA is filed under the name Pangasianodon gigas (Mekong giant catfish). Its description in RNAcentral is "tRNA-Ala". It matches the Rfam family "tRNA". Rfam says of the family: Transfer RNA (tRNA) molecules are approximately 80 nucleotides in length. Their secondary structure includes four short double-helical elements and three loops (D, anti-codon, and T loops). The record is from RNAcentral. Lineage: Eukaryota; Metazoa; Chordata; Actinopteri; Siluriformes; Pangasiidae.